RNAcentral lists this unclassified non-coding RNA (265 nucleotides) under Hevea brasiliensis (rubber tree). The record is from RNAcentral. Lineage: Eukaryota; Viridiplantae; Streptophyta; Magnoliopsida; Malpighiales; Euphorbiaceae.
UUUGCUAACUGGUAAUCAAGAUUUUGCAAAGGAGAUUUUGAGGUUGGUAAGCAAAUCUGGCCGCCUCCCCUGUCAUUUUAAAUUGUGAGCACAACAGCAUAGGUAUGAUAUCAAACUUACUGCCCUUUUGAAGCCUAAUGAAACAGUAAAGCUCUAAAUCUGUGAUGGGUUUGUCACGUGCCAUGGACAGGCAUGAUGAACAUGAAGAGUUUGAGAUGAACAUGACUUUAAAAGCAUGCCAUUAUCUUUAUGCAGCAGCUCAUGA